Molecule: long non-coding RNA, 1377 nt
Organism: Hyla sarda
Lineage: Eukaryota; Metazoa; Chordata; Amphibia; Anura; Hylidae
Exons: 4
Source: RefSeq, a predicted model, not a curated record
CGAUCACAUGACUGGCUUUCCGAAGGGCCGGGACGUGCGAGGCACGUGAUCGGCUGUUGAUUGACAGCUUCAGUCACAUGAUCGCAGUCCUCGCCCUCAAUACGUGACUUCACUUCCGGCUGGCACAUAGGAGGCUGGAUUUACAUAACAGAACUACAGAACAAUGGUGGCGCAAGUGCUGCACAAAUAAUAUAACCUGGGCCACACAAAGAUGGCGGCGAUCGCGCGGCACACCUAUACACCAUUCACGAGGCCACAAUCAGAAAUUCACAAUCAUGACUUGUUAUAGGGAGCAGCAGUCAAAGAAUUAACCUGGCAUAUGACCACUGAGACCAGUGAUUGGCUCCAGCAUCACAUGAAUGGUGUAUUUGAUGACAUCAUCAACUGAGACCUGACCUGGAACACGGUAAUGUCAGCAUUGAUGGAGUAGCAGUGGAUGGAGGGGAUUUGCCAAAAAAUCCAAGCCUACCCUUUAAACCCUUUAUACUAUAGAAACACCCCUAGAGAUAGAAAUGCAUAUUAAUCUUCUUUCAACAUUGCUCAGUAUUUGAAAUGGAUUCCAGUAUUUGUCUGUCUUCAGCACAGAUAGUCAUGUUGGUGAAGGAAGAGGGACUGAAAACAAGGACAAAUGAGCAGGAGUAUGGCAAUCAAAAAGCUUUGCCAAGUUGGCACCGAAGAAUCCUUUAAACGAUCCAGCAGAAGUCUGGUGAAAAUAUUUCCAGAUGAAUUAUGUUUAUUUUAGAACCAAUUCAUAAUAAUUGUACUGUAUUACUGAAAACCUAAUCUCACAGAAUGUAAUAAAUCAUUCUGGCCUAUUAAACAUAAUGAACAUAUCAGACUAAAGUUAGACUACACCCUUACUUAUAAUUUCAUCUUCAAUAAAUAGAUUCAGCAUACACAGUGUACAUCAACUCUAAAGCUUUAGGGACAAUGCAUUUACAUAACCAGGUUCCAUAUAAUUUUAGUAUAAGGUUCCUGAUGCCUAAUAAAGUAUUUGUAAUCUUAUUAUGUUUACAAGGCGUCUAAGCAGAAUGUCUCCCAGAAUGUCAGCCAAAGGUUCAAUCUCCUGGCACUGAAUCUAAUAUGGCUGUAUGUAUGGCUACUGUUAUAAAGAGACUCUCACCACUAUCUUUUAUCAAUACAGCUAGAAUCAAAGAAAUUAGAAUCAGAAAUUAGUAUUAGGUUAAUAAUAAUAAAAAAAAAUCCCUCUAUGAAAGAAUUACAUGGUCUAAUAUAAGAUGACAUAAGCUGAGUAUUGGUACUUUGUAAAGACUGGAAAUCUCCAUAAGAUCCACAAAAUAUGGGAUGCCUGUGUAGAUAAAUGAUAUUGCAAGAGGGUAGUUGUUUGAUAGAGGGUCCACCCCCCCCCCCCCCCCC